GUCGCUAUAGCCAAGCGGUUACGGCGUUUGAUUAGAAUACUCUCUACUAUCAAAUCCUCUUUGAGGGCGUAGGUUCGAGUCCUACUGGCGACG
Botryobasidium botryosum FD-172 SS1 is the source of this 93-nucleotide transfer RNA. It matches the Rfam family "tRNA". Rfam says of the family: Transfer RNA (tRNA) molecules are approximately 80 nucleotides in length. Their secondary structure includes four short double-helical elements and three loops (D, anti-codon, and T loops). Further hydrogen bonds mediate the characteristic L-shaped molecular structure. tRNAs have two regions of fundamental functional importance: the anti-codon, which is responsible for specific mRNA codon recognition, and the 3' end, to which the tRNAs corresponding amino acid is attached (by aminoacyl-tRNA synthetases). tRNAs cope with the degeneracy of the genetic code in two manners: having more than one tRNA (with a specific anti-codon) for a particular amino acid; and 'wobble' base-pairing, i.e. permitting non-standard base-pairing at the 3rd anti-codon position. NCBI's taxonomy places the organism in Eukaryota, Fungi, Basidiomycota, Agaricomycetes, Cantharellales, Botryobasidiaceae. The record is from Rfam.